AUGUUAGCGGCGGACGGGUGAGUAACACGUGGGUAACCUACCUAUAAGACUGGGAUAACUCCGGGAAACCGGGGCUAAUACCGGAUAAUAUUUUGAACCGCAUGGUUCGAUAGUGAAAGACGGUUUCGGCUGUCACUUAUAGAUGGACCCGCGCCGUAUUAGCUAGUUGGUAAGGUAACGGCUUACCAAGGCGACGAUACGUAGCCGACCUGAGAGGGUGAUCGGCCACACUGGAACUGAGACACGGUCCAGACUCCUACGGGAGGCAGCAGUC
RNAcentral lists this ribosomal RNA (274 nucleotides) under uncultured Staphylococcus sp. RNAcentral's name for it is "partial 16S ribosomal RNA". It matches the Rfam family "Bacterial small subunit ribosomal RNA", at positions 89 to 355 of the family's 1533-position model. Lineage: Bacteria; Bacillati; Bacillota; Bacilli; Caryophanales; Staphylococcaceae. The record is from RNAcentral.